GGCCUUUGACUGUCCCGAACGUCCCGAUCGACAGCACUGCCGGGCACCAGUUGCUGCGGAGCUCGUCAUCCUGAUGAGGUUCACCGUAACCAGAAAUGUCAGCUGCUGCUGCAAGAUGGAGAGAAAAUGUGAUUUCCAGUGGAAGUGUCAAAUUAUGCACUGAAUAUUCUCAGGCUGUAGAGAGGUUGAGCGUGCCACUUACGUCGACCCCAACGUGCGCCGAACCCUGAUCUCCUGUUGCUGCAAUGUGACCCGUGAAGCCUGGUGUGCACCCGGCUGAAAUCCUGAGGCAGCAAAAACAAGAAGAAUUAGCCUCCUGUUCAUAUGCCAUUCAUUGAGAGUCACAAGUUGAGACGAACACAGAAGAGAAUGCUUGCGCGGUGCGUGCGUACCCUCAUGAGGUGCUUGUGGUGCUCUCUUGCAACAAAAAGUUGAGGAAUUCUAUGGAGUGGACACGGUAGCCAACUGAUGGAUGGCACGGGCCCAUAUAU
RNAcentral lists this long non-coding RNA (491 nucleotides) under Hordeum vulgare. RNAcentral describes it as "long non-coding RNA (HVUL_LNC011021)". Lineage: Eukaryota; Viridiplantae; Streptophyta; Magnoliopsida; Poales; Poaceae. The record is from RNAcentral.